This 378-nucleotide long non-coding RNA is filed under the name Lepisosteus oculatus (spotted gar). Its description in RNAcentral is "lncRNA (ENSLOCG00000021493.1)". The record is from RNAcentral. Lineage: Eukaryota; Metazoa; Chordata; Actinopteri; Semionotiformes; Lepisosteidae.
UGACAGUUAAGGAGUAGCAGAAAUGGACACAACAUUGAACUACUUGUUCCAACUCUUUGCUGGUCUCUGCUAGCUCACAGGUAUACAGCAACUAGUCAGAACUGCAAAGGCCACAUGAAAUAUCUUUAAUGGUUAAUUGGGAUCUGUGGAGAAAAACAAUCUUCAAGGAUGUGAGGGUAUGGAAUGCUAAAAGAGAAGGAAGUGCGAACAAAAUCUGACACGAUAGGAAGAAGUGGAAAGGAAUGAAUGGCAGAAAUUGGGAAUCAUCUAUCUGUUCCAAACAUCCAAUGUUCAAAUGAGGACCAGGUAAUGGCUAAAUAGUUUCAGACUACUUUUUUGUGGAAUGGUGCAGAGAAUGAGCAAAUUCAGAUUUGGCUU